RNAcentral lists this ribosomal RNA (497 nucleotides) under uncultured bacterium. Its description in RNAcentral is "partial 16S ribosomal RNA". It matches the Rfam family "Bacterial small subunit ribosomal RNA", at positions 28 to 507 of the family's 1533-position model. The record is from RNAcentral.
GACGAACGCUGGCGGCGUGCCUUAUACAUGCAAGUUGAGCGCUGAAGGUUGGUACUUGUACCGACUGGAUGAGCAGCGAACGGGUGAGUAACGCGUGGGGAAUCUGCCUUUGAGCGGGGGACAACAUUUGGAAACGAAUGCUAAUACCGCAUAAAAACUUUAAACACAAGUUUUAAGUUUGAAAGAUGCAAUUGCAUCACUCAAAGAUGAUCCCGCGUUGUAUUAGCUAGUUGGUGAGGUAAAGGCUCACCAAGGCGAUGAUACAUAGCCGACCUGAGAGGGUGAUCGGCCACAUUGGGACUGAGACACGGCCCAAACUCCUACGGGAGGCAGCAGUAGGGAAUCUUCGGCAAUGGACGAAAGUCUGACCGAGCAGCGCCGCGGGAGUGAAGAAGGUUUUCGGAUCGUAAAACUCUGUUGGUAGAGAAGAACGUUGGUGAGAGUGGAAAGCUCAUCAAGUGACGGUAACUACCCAGAAAGGGACGGCUAACUACGUG